CGCGUAGGUGGCUAAUUAAGUCAGAUGUGAAAUUCCAGGGCUUAACCUUGGGGCUGCAUUUGAUACGUGUAGACUAGAGUGUGAGAGAGGGUUGUGGAAUUCCCAGUGUAGAGGUGAAAUUCGUAGAUAUUGGGAAGAACACCGGUGGCGAAGGCGGCAACCUGGCUCAUUACUGACGCUCAGGUGCGAAAGCGUGGGGAGCAAACAGGAUUAGAUACCCCAGUA
This 225-nucleotide ribosomal RNA is filed under the name uncultured Asaia sp. RNAcentral's name for it is "partial 16S ribosomal RNA". It matches the Rfam family "Bacterial small subunit ribosomal RNA", at positions 568 to 792 of the family's 1533-position model. The record is from RNAcentral. Lineage: Bacteria; Pseudomonadati; Pseudomonadota; Alphaproteobacteria; Acetobacterales; Acetobacteraceae.